AAAUCAAAUAAGAUUUUAAUCUCACUUAAUUUAUCUUAAUAUAACUAAUAAAAACAGGGAGAUUACAACUUAGCGAGUUUCAUUAUCCAUUUUAGAAAGGUUUUAAGAUCACCUAAAUUCUCAUUUUAAAAAGUUUAAUUUGUUUUAGUAAUCUAAAAAGCCUUAGUUUAGCCAGUUUAAUUGGGGCCAAUUAUUCCCUAUUAAACAAAUGUAAAACAUCAUAACUAGUUAUUUGUAAUACAGUAUUUGGUUAGUAAAUGAGGGCAUUCUUAAAACUGACAAAGAGGAAAUAAAGUUAUUCUUUAAUCAUUUGGCUUAAGAUUUAAUUGUAGAUUAUAUUCAAUGUUUAAUUUUUAUUUUUGAGGGUUUUCUUCUGUUUAAGUAAAAAGAUCUCUUCUUUUGUUAGGAUAUGUCAGCCACGUUGGGAUGUCAGAGGAACUGGUUCUGACUUGGAGCAAGCAAAGGAACUGUCCUUCUGUGUACGGACUGCUUAAGAAUAGUCAACUCACCACGUGCCUUGUUAGUAAAUGAGUCUACUUGUGAACUUGAAGAUCAUCGUAAUUUCUUUUGUUGAUUUUUGUACAGAUUUUGUUUGGUGAAAUGUUUUUAUGAUUUUUUUUAAUUUGGGGGGCCUUUUUUCCUUUUUUUUAAAAGAAGACAAAAAACAAUCAUAUUUUGUUGCCUCCUAAAUAACAAAAAAAAAGUAUGACAUAUUGGUUAAUAAAGGCUGCCUGUUGAAAUCUCCUCUGCUUUAAUAUAACCUAGAAGAAUAAAGGUCAUUACGGCAGGACAGCUCCACACUUUGCAUAAUUGAGGGCCAUGUUCAGCUACAGCUCACUGCUAGAGCAGAUGGACGCAUGAUGUUUCCAUCUCAUUUAAGGAACAAUAAAUGUGAAGGUGUUAGG
This is a long non-coding RNA of Dipodomys spectabilis (banner-tailed kangaroo rat), 905 nucleotides long. RefSeq lists it as uncharacterized. Lineage: Eukaryota; Metazoa; Chordata; Mammalia; Rodentia; Heteromyidae. The record is from RefSeq and is a predicted model, not a curated record. The transcript has 2 exons.